RNAcentral lists this transfer RNA (91 nucleotides) under Thaumarchaeota archaeon SCGC AB-539-E09. It matches the Rfam family "tRNA". From Rfam's summary of the family: Transfer RNA (tRNA) molecules are approximately 80 nucleotides in length. Their secondary structure includes four short double-helical elements and three loops (D, anti-codon, and T loops). Lineage: Archaea; Thermoproteati; Nitrososphaerota. The record is from Rfam by way of RNAcentral.
GGGCCUGUAGCUCAGCAAGGCAGAGCAUCGGGCUUUUAAGACUUCGGUCGGAGACACCCGGUGGUCAGGGGUUCAACUCCCCUCAGGCCCG